UUCCGUAUUCUAUUAAAGGGG
This 21-nucleotide microRNA is filed under the name Lotus japonicus. RNAcentral's name for it is "lja-miR11118-3p". Lineage: Eukaryota; Viridiplantae; Streptophyta; Magnoliopsida; Fabales; Fabaceae. The record is from miRBase by way of RNAcentral.